This is a long non-coding RNA of Mirounga angustirostris (Northern elephant seal), 3375 nucleotides long. RefSeq lists it as uncharacterized. The record is from RefSeq and is a predicted model, not a curated record. The transcript has 3 exons. NCBI's taxonomy places the organism in Eukaryota, Metazoa, Chordata, Mammalia, Carnivora, Phocidae.
CUGUUCAUAUAGUUGUGAGGUGAUAUCAGAAUAUGGUUUUGAUUUGCAUUUGUUGAUGACCAGUGGUGUUGAGUAUCUUUCACGUAUUUUUUGACCAUUUGGAUGUCUUUUUUGGAAGUAUCUUUUCGCUUCCUAUGCCCAGUUUUUAAUUAGAUUGUUCCUUUGCUAUUGAGUUGUAUUUCUUUAUAUCUUUUGGAUAUUAACUCCUAACAGAUACAUGAUUUGCAAAUAGUUUCUGUCAUUCCAUAGAUUGCCUUUUCACUUUGUUGAUGGUUUCCUUUUCUUUGCAGAAGCUUUUUAGUUUUUGCCUUUGUUGUCUUAGCUUUUCCUCUCAUAUCCAAAAAAAUCAUAGCCAAGGCUAAUGUCAAGGCCUGUGUAUUCUUGUAGGAGUUUUAUGGUUUCAGAUCUUAUGUUUAAGUCUUUAAUCCAUUUUGAGUUGAUUUUUUGUUUGUGGUGUAAGAUAGGGGUCCAUUUUCUUUUAAAAAAAAAAAAAGAUUAUUUUGAGUUCUCUAUAAAAUAAAUAGCCUUUCAACUUUCAUAUGCAUUGUGAAUGUUUUUCCAAUGUAAGCAUUUUUUUUUUAUUUUUUAUUUUAUUUAUUUACUUGAGAGAGAGAAUGAGAGAGCGAGAACACAUGAGAGGGGAUAGGGUCAGAGGACGAAGCAGACUCCCCGCCGAGCAGGGAGCCCGAUGCGGGACUCGAUCCCGGGACUCCAGGAUCAUGACCUGAGCUGAAGGCAGUCGCUUAACCAACUGAGCCACCCAGCACCCACCAAUUUAUCUACCAGUGGAAUGAACUGCCUCACCUUCCCAUCACAGAACUCUCUUUGGAUCAACUUACUCAGUGCUGGCAGUUUUCAUGUUUGUUUUGGUCAGUCUGGGCUGCUAUAACAAAUUACCAUAGACUGGAUGGCUUAAAUGGUAAACAUUUCUCACAGUACUGGAGGUUGGAAGUCCAAGUUCAGGGUGGUGGCAUGGUCGUUUUCUAGUGAGGGCCUGGUUUCUGGUUUACAGAGGGCUGCCCUGUUGCUGUGCCUUCCAUAGUGGAAAGGGAGCUACUCAGCUCUCUGUCCUCUUCUUGUAAGGGGCACGAAUCCCAUUCUUGAGAGCUCUACCCUCGUGACCUAGUUACCUCCCAAAGGCUCAUCUGCAAUUACAAUUACAUUGGGAUUAGAGUUUCGGCAUGCACAAGCACAUUGCACGGUGCUCCUAAUGUUGGCCGCCUAGCCUGCUCGUACACUUCCAGUGGUGGGGAGCGCACUCUUUUGCUGUAGAAAUUAUUUCACUGUUUGGAUUCCUUCAGGUGUUUUGAGGAAUUAUGUAUGUUGAGCCAAAAUCUGACUCUGUAAUUGUGUUCUGUAGAGGAGCGGAAAAUGUCUAUUCUGCCUGCACUUGAUAGUUUCUCAUAGACUCCUCUUUCCCCUCCUGAUAUUUGUUCUAAACAAUAUAAUAUUUUAUGUAGCAUCAUUGGGGAAAAUCAAUUCCACUUGUUUUCCACAGCCAAAGGUAUAUAGAUAAAUAAAUCUAUAAUACAUAAAUAAAAGAGGAGCUUAAUUGACUAUUUGUUUUUGUUAAUGAGUAGCUUCCAUCAGAUCUAUUCUCUGUGAAAAUAGAUUGAGGUAAUAGGCUCUUCAUUCCUUAUUAUUUUCAUCAGUAAGAUACAUUUCUCUGUUUAAUGUGAUGAGCAUUAAAUCUUUACCUGAACUCUUCAUAGUAUUUUAGAUCUGGAAGGUACCCUACCAGUUUAAUUUCUUGUAGACCCUUCUGUGGCAGAUGUUUAUCUUUUUUGUGUUCGGUUUUCUUUUUUGUUGUGGUAAUCCAAGGCCAAUGGAAAGCUGGGCUCAACCUCCCUGUGCUAAAGCCCAAGGCAGGCAGGCCUACCGUGGCCUACUUCUGGCCAUCAGAUUGGGCUUGUGAGUCUAAGGAGCUCUGAGUGCUUCAGUUUGCCUGUGUAGACUACUGGAGGCAGCUGCGCUGGUUGACGGGUAACAGUAUCUAUGGUCCAGAGUCUAGGUGGAUGGAGGUGACUGUCUCCUGGGGUGUCUCCUGGGGUGGAGUAGUGGCUGGAGCAGUGGCUCCCGCAGCGUUCCGGCAGGCGAGGCUGUUCUGUUGUGCUUUGCCCUGCUUGGCCCCAGUCUGAGUCUGCAUCUGCAGCCCCUCUGCAGACAGUGAGCUCCCCGAAACCUGGCCAGGCACAAGCACCUUUUCUGCCUAAGCUAACCUGAGUCAGUUUCUUGUUUUUCACCAGGAACCUAGGCAGGUACAUCCUUAUUUGAGUGUUUUCAAGUUGUGGUAUAGGAUUUUGGUGUGUAAUCAUCUCUGCCUAAGCACAUCUGAGGUUUGCAUGUACUAGUUAAGGAAUGUACUCCCUAGGGUGUAUAAUUGCUAUUUAUGUGGCAGUUAGGAGCUAUAUCUUUUCAUCCUUAACUGAUUAAUUUUCAGAGUACUCUUGUAAGCAAGAUUUCUUUGUUUGUUUUUUAAUUAAGUUCUAUGCCCAACAUGGGGCUGAACUCACAACCGUGAGGUCCAGAGUUGUAUGCUCCACUGACUGAGCCAGCCAGGCGCCCCAGAGAGAUUUAUUUUUUGACCCUUUCAAAGCAAGUACUGAUAGAGUAGCAGUUAGACAUGACCUGGAGGCAAAAGUGAUAAAUAGGUGCCACUUAGAAGCACACAUAGAAGCCUGAGGGCACAAUAUCCUGAUUUUGUGGCUUUUAACAUCUUGGCCUUGCUGCUUCCAGCACCCUGGGGCUGACAGACGAAGAGCCGCAGGUGCAGAACCUGUGCUCUCCUCUUCAACUGCUGCCCCAGGGUAACCUGUGGCUUCAUUAUAAUAUAUUUAUAUUGUGGUUUUGACCUCCCCCACCAACCCCCCCGGGGGAAGAUGGCUCUGACAGUUCCGUUUGUACUGGCAAGUACCUUGUAGGGCCAGAAACUCCCCCUCCCAACCCUUAGGAGGAGUCCCUUAGAUGAUUGGAAACAACCUCAGUUGGAGACUGCCUAGCUAUAACCUCUGUGAGACACCCCUGACCGGUGCGUGGCCAGCUCUAGGCCUGCCUGCUUUCCCACCUUGAGGGUGUACUGUCCUUAAUGUACUGCUUUGUGCUUGCUACUUGCUUUCUGGCUGUCUUUAUUAAAGCGUGGAUCCUCACAUACAUCCUUCAUGCGGAAUCCAAGAACUGAGACCUCCAUUCACACAACGCAGACUCUCCCACUGGUAAUAGUACAUUUAUUUAUUUUACUUUAUUUUUUUAAGGGGGCUCCACACGCAUUGUGGGACUUGGACUCACGACCCUGAGAUCAAGAGUCUCAUGCUAUACCUACUGAGCCAGCCAGAUGCCCCGGUAAUAGUAUUUUUUAAAAGAAGGUGGACAGGGGAG